UAACUUUAUUCAACUUUAUUUGCUUGUUUUCGCUGACUGAAAACGGCAUUGGUGCCGCCAUAUUCGAGUGACGUCCGUUUAUGUUUUAAGAGGCCACAAUGAGGCAAGAGGGUUGAGAAUGAGCUCUUUAUGACUGUAAACUUUCACCCAGAGCCUACUAUAACCACAUAGCAGAUGUUCAGUGUUUCUGAAGAGAAGAUGCAGAUCUUCACUCAAGUUUGUGCCUGGAAUUGUUCAUAAGAUCCAGAAGAUCAGAACAACAACAACAACAACAAGCAGAAAUCCAGGAACAGCAGCAGAAAUCCACACUAUCAGAGAGACUGUAACGAAAAAGAAAAAAUAUGACAAUCUGAUCUACAGCCAAAGAGCUCAGUAAAUAAACACAUUUACCAUGAUAAAUUGUACCUGGACAUGUCUGCCAGAGUGUGCUGAUGUCCAGAUAUGUGGUCUGGUUGCUGAUGGUGUUGUUGAUCACACAGCUGUAGGUGUUCUUAUCUUGAUAUUCCACCUCCAGAGUUAGAGAGAGACUGAUGCUGAGAUUAGACACACUGAUGCUGGACAAUAAACUGUUUCCUUUGUACCAGGAGAGACCCACAGCGCUCACAUUCACCACUGAACACAACACUGAACAAUACUGCACUGAUGAAGAGCACUGAGAAGAGUUGAAGAUGAGGACAGGAACAGGCAGACGAGCUGGAAAAUGGCGGGGUUUCUUUCUGAGACAGGAAAAGAAAGCCACCAUUUUAGACUCACGGUCCAACGGACAAAGACCGACGCAGCUCGACUGUUUUUAAUCUCAACCAGUGUUUUACGACCGUGAAAAUGAUGAGACGCUGUUUUCUGUUUGUGUUGGUCGUUUACGGUAAGAAUGUGUUUGUUUCUGUGUAAU
This is a long non-coding RNA of Danio aesculapii, 889 nucleotides long. RefSeq lists it as uncharacterized. The transcript has 4 exons. The record is from RefSeq and is a predicted model, not a curated record. Lineage: Eukaryota; Metazoa; Chordata; Actinopteri; Cypriniformes; Danionidae.